Molecule: small RNA, 617 nt
Filed under: Nannizziopsis chlamydospora
Lineage: Eukaryota; Fungi; Ascomycota; Eurotiomycetes; Onygenales; Nannizziopsiaceae
Description: eukaryotic LSU rRNA
Rfam family: 5.8S ribosomal RNA (bases 244-397)
Source: RNAcentral
GUAGGUGAACUUGCGGAAGGAUCAUUACUGUUGGUAACCGGGGGCCCCAUCGCCCCCGGACCCUCCACCCGUGACUACUGAACAUCCUUUGCCUCGGUCGGCCUAACGUGUUUGGAGCACGCCCUCUCGGGUGUGCUCCGCUCACGGGGCCCGGAUCCUGUGAUCCGGGAUGCGAAACCGCCGGCCGAUGGCACCUCUGAACCUCUUUGAAUAACGCAGUCUGAGUUUGAUGUUAAUCAUUAAAACUUUCAACAAUGGAUCUCUUGGUUCCCGCAUCGAUGAAGAACGCAGCGAAAUGCGAUAACUAAUGUGAAUUGCAGAAUUCCGUGAAUCAUCGAGUCUUUGAACGCACAUUGCGCCCCCUGGUAUUCCGGGGGGCAUGCCUGUCCGAGCGUCAUUGCACCCCUCAAGCACAGCUUGGUGUUGGGCGACCGUCCCGCGGGACGCGCCCCAAAUGCAUUGGCGGCACCGGCACUGGAGCCCGGAGCGUAUGGGAACACCGUCACGCCCACAGGACCCGGCCGGAGCUGGCCUUCAAUGAUCGCUAUUCAUCCUUGGUUUGACCUCGGAUCAGGUAGGGAUACCCGCUGAACUUAAGCAUAUCAAUAAGCGGAGGA